UUGACUUGGCAGAAUAAUAUGCAAUUGACUUAGAAUCAAUCUAUAAUAAAAUAAUAUUAGUCGGU
This 65-nucleotide transfer RNA is filed under the name Phyllidiella pustulosa. Its description in RNAcentral is "tRNA-Leu". Lineage: Eukaryota; Metazoa; Mollusca; Gastropoda; Nudibranchia; Phyllidiidae. The record is from RNAcentral.